RNAcentral lists this ribosomal RNA (347 nucleotides) under uncultured beta proteobacterium. RNAcentral's name for it is "bacterial SSU rRNA". It matches the Rfam family "Bacterial small subunit ribosomal RNA", at positions 195 to 523 of the family's 1533-position model. The record is from RNAcentral. Lineage: Bacteria; Pseudomonadati; Pseudomonadota; Betaproteobacteria.
GAGAGAGGAAAGCGGGGGACCGUAAGGCCUCGCGCGACCGGGUUGGCCGAUGUCCGAUUAGCUAGUUGGUGGGGUAAAGGCUUACCAAGGCGAUGAUCGGUAGCUGGUCUGAGAGGAUGAUCAGCCACACUGGGACUGAGACACGGCCCAGACUCCUACGGGAGGCAGCAGUGGAGAAUUUUGGACAAUGGGGGCAACCCUGAUCCAGCCAUUCCGCGUGAGUGAAGAAGGCCUUCGGGUUGUAAAGCUCUUUUGUCCGGAGCGAAACGGUUGUGGUGAAUAUCCGCGACUACUGACGGUACCGGAAGAAUAAGCACCGGCUAACUACGUGCCAGCAGCCGCGGUAA